CCUACGGGAUGCAGCAGUGGGGAAUAUUGCACAAUGGGGGAAACCCUGAUGCAGCGACGCCGCGUGAGUGAAGAAGUAAUUCGUUAUGUAAAGCUCUAUCAGCAGGGAAGAAAAUGACGGUAACUGAGUAAGAAGCCCCGGAUAACUACGUGCCAUCAGCCGCGGGAAUACGGAGGGGGCAAGCGGUAGCCGGAUUUACUGGGUGUAAAGGGAGCGUAGACGGCAGUGCAAGUCUGGAGUGAAAGGCGGGGGCUCAACCCCCGGACUGCUCUGGAAACUGUACGGCUGGAGUGCAGGAGAGGUAAGUGGGAUUCCUAGUGUAGCGGUGAAAUGCGUAGAUAUUAGGAGGAACACCAGUGGCGAAGGCGGCUUACUGGACUGUAACUGACGUUGAGGCUCGAAAGCGUGGGGAGCAAACAGGAUUAGAUACCCGGGUAGUC
This 440-nucleotide ribosomal RNA is filed under the name uncultured bacterium. Its description in RNAcentral is "partial 16S ribosomal RNA". It matches the Rfam family "Bacterial small subunit ribosomal RNA", at positions 338 to 795 of the family's 1533-position model. The record is from RNAcentral.